RNAcentral lists this ribosomal RNA (254 nucleotides) under uncultured bacterium. RNAcentral describes it as "partial 16S ribosomal RNA". It matches the Rfam family "Bacterial small subunit ribosomal RNA", at positions 524 to 776 of the family's 1533-position model. The record is from RNAcentral.
UACGAGGGGGGCAAGCGUUGUUCGGAAUUAUUGGGCGUAAAGGGCGCGUAGGCGGUGCGGUAAGUCUGUUGUGAAAUCUCCCGGGCUCAACUCGGAGUCUGCAUCAGAAACUGCCGUGCUCGAGUCCGGAAGAGGCGAGUGGAAUUCCUGGUGUAGCGGUGAAAUGCGCAGAUAUCAGGAGGAACACCAAUGGCGAAGGCAGCUCGCUGGGACGUGACUGACGCUGAGACGCGAAAGCGUGGGGAGCAAACAGG